This 442-nucleotide ribosomal RNA is filed under the name uncultured bacterium. Its description in RNAcentral is "partial 16S ribosomal RNA". It matches the Rfam family "Bacterial small subunit ribosomal RNA", at positions 338 to 795 of the family's 1533-position model. The record is from RNAcentral.
CCUACGGGAGGCAGCAGUGGGGAAUAUUGGGCAAUGGGCGCAAGCCUGACCCAGCAACGCCGCGUGAAGGAAGAAGGCUUUCGGGUUGUAAACUUCUUUUGUCAGGGAAGAGUAGAAGACGGUACCUGACGAAUAAGCCACGGCUAACUACGUGCCAGCAGCCGCGGUAAUACGGAGGUGUCAAGCGUUGUACGGAUUUACUGGGUGUAAAGGGCGUGUAGCCGGGUUGACAAGUCAGAUGUGAAAUCCUGCGGCUUAACCGCAGAACUGCAUUUGAAACUGUUGAUCUUGAGUACUGGAGAGGCAGACGGAAUUCCGAGUGUAGCGGUGAAAUGCGUAGAUAUUAGGAGGAACACCAGUGGCGAAGGCGGUCUGCUGGACAGCAACUGACGGUGAGGCGCGAAAGCGUGGGGAGCAAACAGGAUUAGAUACCCUAGUAGUC